This 454-nucleotide long non-coding RNA is filed under the name Sorghum bicolor (sorghum). Its description in RNAcentral is "long non-coding RNA (SBIC_LNC012850)". Lineage: Eukaryota; Viridiplantae; Streptophyta; Magnoliopsida; Poales; Poaceae. The record is from RNAcentral.
CCCAGUUAAAAUUGACGUGACGAGGCCUCCUGACGUGGUGUCAGACGGAUGCAUGAAAAGCUGCGCCUGGCAACUUGUGCAACCGCCUUUGCAUGGUUUGAGAAAAGGAAACCAUCAAUUGGUACGAAAAAUCCGCCGCAUUAAUUGUCUAUAAUCAUUGUAAACCGAAACGCCGCGUCCGCCGCAUGGCCUGCCCACUUCCCGAGAAUACAGGAAGUGGGAGAGGUGGAGUUGCGGGCUGAUAAGAGCCUAAUAGGUCCGCCUGUACCGCUUACCCUGCCAUUGCCUUCAAACCUUCCGCUCUCAUCUUCUCCAAUCUCCUGCAUCUUCCUAACUCAAGCCCAUAUUCGCACCUCUAAUGGCGAAGAGCGACUCCAGGAAGAGGGCCGAACUGAUGGCCAAGGAGUGGAAGAAAUCUCGCAGCACCACAAAAUCUCUUGGUGACCUCGUCGAU